Molecule: long non-coding RNA, 9204 nt
Filed under: Theobroma cacao (cacao)
Lineage: Eukaryota; Viridiplantae; Streptophyta; Magnoliopsida; Malvales; Malvaceae
Description: long non-coding RNA (TCAC_LNC004247)
Source: RNAcentral
CAUGGAGAUUAUGGAAAGAAGGCAAGCCUUUGAAUCUUGCUGAUGAUUUCUUAGCAGAGACUGGCAGUCUAUCACAGGUGUUACGAUGCAUCCACAUUAGCCUUUUAUGUGUACAGCAGCAUCCUGAGGGGAGGCCAAGCAUGUCAUCCGUGGUUCUGAUGUUGGGAAGUGAGAAUGAAUUGCCUCUGCCCAAACAACCUGGUUUUUUGUUUCACAAGAGUCCAUUUGAAGCAGAUUCUUCAUCCGGUAACCAUGGAUCAUCUUCGAAAAACGAAAUAAGUUUAUCAGUUUUAGAGGCUCGAUAGAGGGUGAUAUGCUUCAUUAAACCUAUUAUGCUCCAAACUAUCAGUAAUGAUUCCAAUCCCACUUGAUGUUCGGGGCAUGUGCUUUUGGACCAAAUGCUAGUGAGAAAUGUUUUAAAAAUCAACAUGCAAUCAAGUACAAAUAUUAGUGUUGCAUUUAUUCCGUGGAUAGGUAGAUUGAAGGACCAAACUAAAGCUUCAUACAGUUCAGAUAUAACUGAAGCUUCAUACGGUUAAGAUGUACAAAUUUCAUGCAAUCUCAUCACUUACAAGUUGCUGACUUCUCUUGUUUUCUACUGCAUUUGUGUAAGAUCAAGAGCCACCUAAUCUAGCCGGCUUGGGAACCUCAAUAUGAGUGUUAAUUAAUUAGUGUGAUAAAUGAAUCAACAAACUAGCUUCAUUGUCUCUACAUUAUUCUGUGCAUAAUCAAACCUGUGUCAUCAACAACAAGAAAAUAUCAUUCAUGACUAGGAUUCCUCAGUUCCUUUGCUUGACUCCAGAAGUGAACUUAGUACCAUGAGACUGUAACCUCUUUUUGGGGCGCAAACGAAUGAACUUCACAUACAAGAUUAGUCAAGCUAAGUAUCAAUUAGAACUUUAAUAGAGGCUACAGAUUCCAGGUUGAAAGAAGCUGGUGAGGUCUUCAACAAAGAUAUGUUGCAGUUUUAAGGCUGUACAGUUUUCAUCUUCAUCUUUGUUUGGUCGUGGUCCAACCCCUUUGCUUAUGGGGGCUUCGACAGGCGUUGGACGACACGUUGAUGAGGCUGUCAGGGCGCCUUAAAACAAAAAGAAAAGGGAGAGCGUCCUCAUUGUACGUGACUGACACCUGAUACGAGGUUGGCUUUGUCCGGUUUCAGACAGAUUUGGUGGGCCCAACACGUUGGCAACAUUAUCAAACGCGAGAGUGAUAAUAGAUUGGCAAAAUGAAGAACACAUCUCUCACGGAUCCACUUCAGUGAGAUAUGGUGAGGGUCUUACGAUUAUAAAUAUAAAAUUUUUACUAUUUAUUAGAUAUAUUUUUUGAUUUGAUAACAUGAUAUUGUAAUUUAUAAAUUUAGAGAUGUCAACUGGUAGGAUAUUCGUUAAUUUUGAGAUACUAAAAUCUGAAUUCGAUUAAAAAAUAAAAUACCCAAACUCGAUAAUUACCUGAAUUUUUUUUAAAUUUACUAUCCUAACUCAAAUCCUAAUACAUAAUCACUACCCGAUAAUUACUCGAACCCGUUUAAAAAUCUGAUUAUGUAAAAAAUUAUUAAAAUACUCUUUAUAGAUACCCAAUUACCCAAACUCAAAUCUGUACCUGUAUCUAUAUACAAUAAUAUUUUUAUUCAUAUUUUAUAUAAUUCACCAAUAAUUAAAUUUAUAAAAGCACAUAAAUAAUAAAAUUUAAAUUUAAAUAAUCAAAAACAAAUAUCUCAAAUAUCAACUUAAAUAAUUAAAAACAAAUAUUAAACUACAACUUAAACAUUACAAGUUUAAUUAACUAUGUGGGUUUAUCCAUGAAAUUAAAAAAAAUAAUUAUAUUCCAAAAUUAUUCUAAUCUUAUAAUUUCUUUUUAGGUAUAUAUUUUAUAAGUUUAUAUACACAAAAGUAUAUAUUAUAAAUAAUAAUUUUAUAAGUUAUAUUUUCUAUAAUGUUAAUACAAUAUAGCAAGUAAACAUGUUUAUAUUUAAAGUAUAUAUACAAUAGUAAUUGUAUUCUUCAUAAAUUAACACAAUAUAUAAAAUAUAUGUAUUAAAAGAUAUUACAAGUUAAUUAAUAAUCAUAGUUUUAUGAAUUAAUUUAAUUAAUAAUAUGAAUUUGUCUUGAAUUACAUAAAAUUAAAAAAAUAUAUAAUCAGAUUCGGGUAUCGGGUAUCCAAAGGGUGAUAUUUGAACCCUACCUGAACCCGAUACAUGUAUUUUAGGGUACUUUAACUUUAUACAAUCAGAUCAGGUACUCGUAAGUACCCUGUAACAGGAUACCUAUAGACAUCCCUAUAUAAACUUACUUAAAUUUAUUAUUCUUAAUUUUUUAAAUACAUUUUUAUUACCCAUAAACUGUUUAUUAAGUUUACGACUCAUAAGUAUUUACAAACUUACAAUAAUAUAAUAAUUACGGUAAAAUAAUUUUUUUUAUCAUUAAAUUAAAAGUUUUAAUGAUGCAACUUGUCUAUUUCUUUUUGAACAUUAUGAAACUCAUAAAAAUAUUAUUAUUAUCAUCAUAGUCUUAGUUGAAAAUGAUGGUCAACAUCUAAAAAAAAGUGAUUAUCUUCUAGAAAAAGAAUUGCCUCUGCCCAAACAACCUGGUUUUUGGUUUCACAAGAGUCCCUUUGAAGCAAAUUCUACAUCAGGCAACUGCAGAUCAUCUUCUAGAAACGAAAAAAGUCUAUCAAUGUUAGAGGCUCGAUAGAGAGUGGUAUGCUUCAUUAAACCUAUUAUGCUCCAAACCAUCAGUAAUGACUCCAAUCCCACUUGAUGUUUGGGGCAUGUGCUUUUAGAGCCAAUGCUAGUGAGAAAUGUUUCAGAAAUCAAACAUGCAAUCAAGUAUAAAUAGUAGUGUUUUGUUUAUUUCAUUUUGCUGCAGGCAUGGAGAUUAUGGAAAGAAGGCAAGCCUUUGAAUCUUGCUGAUGAUUUCUUAGCAGACACUGGCAGUCUAUCACAGGUGUCACGAUGCAUCCACAUUAGCCUCUUAUGUGUACAACAGCAUCCUGAGGAGAGGCCAAGCAUGUCAUCCGUGGUUCUGAUGUUGGGAAGUGAAAAUGAAUUGCCUCUGCCCAAACAACCUGGUUUUUUGUUUCACAAUAGUCCCUUUGAAGUAGAUUCUUCAUCAGGCAACUAUAAAUCAUCUUCGAAAAACGAAAUAAGUCUAUCAAUGUUAGAGGCUCGAUAGAGGGUGGUAUGCUUCAUUAAACCUAUUAUGCUCCAAUCCCACUUGAUGUUUGGGGCAUGUGCUUUUAGAGCCAAUGCUAGUGAGAAAUGUUACAGAAAUUAAACAUGCAAUGAAGUAUAAAUAGUGGUGUUUUGUUUAUUUCAUGGAUAGAUAAGAUUGAAGGGCCAAACUGAAGCUUCAUACAGUUAACAUAUACAAAUUCCAUGCAAUCUCAUCAUUUACAAGUUUUUGACUUAUCUUGUUUUCGGCUGCAUUUAUGUAAUAUCAAACGUAAGAGUGAUAAUAGAUUGGCAAAAUCAUGAACACAUCACUCAAGGUCAGGGGAGGGGGAUUUGGCAAAAUUAUGAAGUGGUACUAGCAAUUUUAGGAAUGGGCCGGCAUGCUUAAUGAGCUUGUAGUGGACUAUCAAUUUUCUAAUGGGCUUAUUGUGGAUCAAGGCAUGUUCUAAUGGGCUUCUAUUGGACAACAAAUAUUGAUUUUUUUUUAUUAUGGAGGGUUUAUUGAUGGUUUUUUUUGGAAUGGAUUUAUUUAUACAUAAUUACAUAUAUAUUGUAUUUAAGAAAACAAAUAAAAUUUUGAAUUUCCAUAUUACUUUUAUUCUUAAUCUUUUAAAUGUAUUUUUACUAUUCACAAACUAAUUAUUAUAUUUAUGACUCAUAAAUGUAUACAAACUAACAACGACAUAACAAUCACUGUAAAAUAUUUUUUAUUCAUGAUUAAAUCAAAAACUUUAAUGAUACAACUUGUCUAUUUCUUUUUCAACAUAAUGAAAGUCAUAAAAAUAUUAUCAUCAUAGUCAUAGUUGAAAAUGAUGGUCAACAUUUAAAAAAAAAAGUGAUUAUCUUUUUUUUAAUUAAAGUAAUAGUAGAAGUAGUCAUUGGCACGUGAGUAAAAUAGCAUAAUUAACUAGCAGAUGCUUCCGGCUUGAUGCUACUUUCAGCUUGAUUUUGUCAUAACAAUAAUGUUGCCUUAAUAAUUAGUAAUUAUGUCAUUCACCAUGUAUUUUUGUUGGUUUUUGAAAGUUCUCUUUAGAUUUGCUGGCAUGACUUCAAAAUUAUAUAUAAUUAAAUAAUAUAUAUAAAUAUAUAUGUAUAAUAUUGUUUUAAAGAAGAAAAAGAAAGGAAAAUGGAGUUCUAUGUGCCAAAAAAUUGAUUUUAUUUGUUGAAUCAAAUAAAAAAUAAUUAAAUGUAUAAUUGAUAAAUCGUGUAUAAAAUUUUAAAAAAGAGAGUAUAUCUAUUAAUUAGAAAUAAUAAUUGAUUAUAUAAAUAUGUGAUUAAUUUUAAUUGAUUAACUAUUUUAAAUUAAUUACAUUAAUGAAUUAACUAAUUAAUUAGUUAAUUAAAUUAAUUAACUAACUAAUUUAUUUAUAAAAUAAUUUAAAUUAAUUAAUUUAAUUCUUUAAAACUUAACUAAUUUACUAAAAAUAAAUAUUUAGUAAUUUCACAUAUUUUAAUAUAUAAAUAUUUAGUAUUUAAAUAUUAGGUUAGUUUUGUCAUGCUAUUAUUUAUUAUUUUAAGGGAUAAAGUUGAAAAAUUAAAAAUUUACAUUAAAAAAAGGUAAGUUUGAAAAUAUAAAGGGAAUUUUUUAAAUUUACAUUACAUUCUCAUACUUCCAAACCAAAGACUACCAUCUAAUCUUCCCAACAAUUAUAUUACAUGCAAUCAUCAUUUUUCUAUGAUAUAUAAAACAUUCUAAAGUUUUUUUCAUCCAUCAUAUUCCCUGCAAUUAUCAUAUUUUUAUAUUAUACAAAACGUUGCAAAGUUCUUCUCAUUCAUCAUAUUCCCUGCAAUCAUCACUUUUUCAUAUUAUAUCAAUGUUGCAAAAUUCUUCUCAUCAAUAACAUUCUCAGUAAUCAAAUUAUUAACAAUUACAUUUUCAAUAAAAUAUAUAAAAAAAAAACACGGUUUAUACUAUCAAGAACAAACUAAUUAACAUGAAAAUAGGGGAAAUUGACACGAAGUCAAUUCCAUCGGACCCUUAGGACUUGUGAUUGCAAUUUUUUGUAAAUUCAGCCUAAAAGUAUAGGAAGACUUGACUUUUUGGUAAUCAUGUCGACUUCAUAAUGGUUAUUGAGAAGAAAAAAUCUCCCUGACGUACGUUUUUUUUAAGUCUAGAGAUGCAUGUUUACUUAAUUACUUGCACGUUGAGUGGUCUUGGUUUAAGUCAUAGUCUUACGGUCUAGUAGUGUACAAUGAAAUUAAUUUUAGAGGUUACUUUAUGAUAAAACCUAAGUGUAAAGUUCCCUGAUUUUUUUGUGUAACAAAGAAUUUUAGCAUCUUCGGUUUACUGAAACAGUUGGGAGCUCUACAUUAAGCUAGGGCGGACAAGAAUAUUCUGUUUCAUGGUUUUUUAAACUUUAAGUUACUUAACUGCAACUUAUUUCAGUUCCUAUUUCUCAAUAAUCUUAACUUCACAGCCAUCAUGUUAGUUAAAGAUAUUUCCAUCUCCAGGAAGAAGUUGAGGCCUAUAGAAUAGUUGUCGUCUCUGUCACGAUUGAUGAAGAAUUUCAAGGUCAAUGGACCCAAAGUCUUGCCUUGAAGCCUGAAGGUCAAUGCUGUUUAGAAUGUUCAAUCAAAUGGCAUCUAUUCUUAUCUUCAAAGCAAAAAGCUUUCAGACUAUACAUCCAUGGACAUGGAUAUCCUUUCUUUCAGUGCUUGUUUCCUCAUCAUCUUCACCAAAGCUUCCAGCGCACCCGACAGGAUUUCUCCGUCUGAGUCACUCACUGAUGGCACGACCUUGGUCUCUAGUGAUGGAAGCUUUGUAUUGGGUUUCUUCACUCCGGGGAGUUCUAAGAAUCGUUACUUGGGAAUUUGGUACAAUAACAUCCCCAUGCAAACUGUUGUAUGGGUUGCAAACAGGAUAAAUCCGAUAAAUGACACCACUGGCUUGCUGCAGAUAGAAAGCACUGGCAGAGUCGUGCUUCUAGGUCAGAACCAAACAACUGUUUGGUCAAUUAAUUCCACAGAAGCAGCUCAGAAUCCGAUUCUGCAGCUCCUGGAUUCAGGCAAUCUUGUUGUCAGAAAUGGAAAAGAUGGUGAUUCAGAGAACUACUUGUGGCAAAGCUUUGAUUAUCCAACUGAUACAAUGUUACCGGCGAUGAAGAUUGGUUGGGACCUGAGAACUAAUUUAAAUCGAAGACUAGCAGCAUGGAAGAACUCAGAUGAUCCAUCUCCUGGGGACCUUACUUAUGGGGUGGAACUCCAAGGCAAUCCAGAGGUGGUGCUGCGGAAAGGCUCAGAAAAGUACCAUCGCAGUGGCCUCUGGAAUGGCGAUGGAUUUAGUGGUGCACAAAAUUUAAGAUCAAAUCCGGUCUAUGAGUACGACUUUGUCUGGAAUGAGGAGGAGGUGUACUACAUAAAUUACCUCAAAAAUAAAUCGGUGAUGUCAAGGUUAGUUUUGAACCAAACUGAAAAGGUUAGACAGCGGUACACAUGGAACCCAGAAACUCAAACUUGGAUGUUGAUUUCCAUCAUGCCAAGUGACUGUUGUGACAUACUUGGACUUUGUGGUGCAAAUGGGAACUGCGAUAAUUCCACGCUUCCAGCUUGCCAAUGUUUGAAAGCAUUCAGGCCUAAAUCGCUGGAAAGAUGGAACUCCUUAGACUGGUCUGAAGGGUGUAUACACAAUAAGCCAUUAAACUGCCAAAGCGGAGAUGGAUUUAUUAGAAUUGAGAGGGUGAAAACGCCAGAUACCUCACAUUCUUGGGUGAGCAAAAGUAUGAAUCUCGAGGAAUGCAGGGCUAAGUGCUUGCAGAACUGUUCUUGUAUGGCAUACACUAAUUUAGAUAUUAGAGGAGGAGGUAGCGGCUGCGCCAUGUGGUUUGGUGAUCUAAUUGAUAUUAAACAAUUUCAAUCAUUUGGCCAGGAUCUUUACAUCAGAGUCUCUGCUUCAGAAGCAGGUAUCAGUUUAAAAUCGGAACAUUUUCUUGUUACAGCUUGUGAUAAUUUCUUUUGGAAAUUGUUUAAUUAUACUUGGGCUCCUUCAUCAAUAAUGAUCAUGCAGAACUGAAAAACAAGGCUAAGGCGAAGCUGGCCGUGAUAAUUGCAACACCAAUUGCUAUGUUCUUGGGGCUUCUUGUAGUCAUUUAUUACAUCCGGAGAAGGAGAAGAAAAUUAGAAGGUAAUAUCAACUAUGGUCCUCAUUAAAGCAGGGGAAAGUUGGUAUUUGAUACAAAUACCAAAAUCGUUUCUGCUCACAGCACCGCUAUCAGAUCCCUGCCCUGUUUUCAAGAAAACAGUAAUACUAAAAUUUGUCAUUUCUCUUAUCAAAUUUGAUAAUACAUGGUUUUCAAUUUUGUUUUAUGAUCUGACAAAAAAGUGAGUCCAUGAACAAUUGGUUCGAUAUUUUUGGUUUUGGUGUUCAGAAGAAGCAUACAGCUUUUGUCUAUCUAAAUCUAUCAAUAUGCAUGAGAAAGCGUAUCUCUGUGUUGAAUGCUAGCCUAUUUUGACUACUGUUUCAGAUGAAGUUAAAGAAAGGAUUUUAAAUGAUCAAAAGAACCAAGGCCAGAGUGAAGAUAUGGAGCUUGCUGUAUUCGAGCUAGCUACGAUAGCCAGAGCUACUGGUAGUUUUUCUUUUAAUAACAAGCUAGGUGAAGGAGGUUUUGGACCUGUUUAUAAGGUAAAAGUAAGCACAUAUUACUAAAGUGAUCUCAAGCACGGAGAAUUCAUCUUUAUUGAAAGCUCAUCAAAAUAUUCCUAGUCUCCAGGGGACACUUGCAAAUGGACAAGAAAUUGCUGUGAAAAGACUUUCAAAGAGUUCCGGACAAGGAUUGAACGAGUUUAAAACUGAAGUAAAGUUGAUUGCCAAACUUCAGCAUCGGAAUCUUGUAAGGCUUCUUGGGUGCUGCAUUCAUGGAGAGGAGAAAAUGCUGGUUUAUGAAUACAUGCCUAACAGAAGUCUUGACUCAUUUAUUUUUGGUCAGAAACCUUUCAAUUUUAUAUUGUCUGCUCUCGGCUUGUGAAAUAGUUUUCUUUUGCUGCUUCAAAGGAUCAAAUAGAUAUAGAAUUAACAUGAAGGCAGUACUUGACAGAUCAAAGAAGGUGCAAAGUAUUAGAUUGGCCCAAGCGUUUCCAAAUUAUCUGUGGGAUUGCUAGGGGACUACUCUACCUUCAUCAAGAUUCCAGAUUGAGGAUUAUUCAUAGAGAUCUAAAAGCUAGUAAUGUUUUGCUUGAUAGUGAGAUGAACCCAAAAAUUUCAGAUUUUGGCAUGGCAAGACUUUUGGAGGAGACCAGACUGAAGCCAAUACCAACAGAGUGGUUGGAACUUAGUAAGUCUACUUUUUCUGCAAAUUUGAUCUAUAAAUGCCCAUGAAACUCUUAUCUGACAAUGUUUUGCAGUGGUUAUAUGGCACCAGAAUAUGCUAUCGAUGGGCUGUUUUCGGUAAAAUCAGAUGUGUUUAGCUUUGGCAUAUUGUUGUUGGAGAUAAUAAGUGGAAGAAAGAAUAGAGGAUUAUAUCAUCAAAAUCAAAAUGGCAACCUUAUUGAACAUGUAAGCCUGAUUGUCAUUAUCUUUUAUUACAUAUUUUGAACCGAUGAAUGAUAAAAGAAUUUCAUUUUGCUGCAGGCAUGGAGAUUAUGGAAAGAAGGCAGGCCUUUGGAUCUUGUUGAUGAGUUCUUAGCAGAGACCGGCAGUCUAUCACAGGUGUUACGAUGCAUCCACAUUAGCCUUUUUUGUGUACAACAACAUCCUAAGGAGAGGCCAAGCAUGUCAUCCGUGGUUCUGAUGUUGGGAAGUGAAAAUGAAUUGCCUCUGCCCAAACAACCUGGUUUUUGGUUUCACAAGAGUCCCUUUGAAGCAGAUUCUACAUCAGGCAACUACAAAUCAUCUUCUAGAAACGAAAUAAGUCUAUCAAUGUUAGAGGCUCGAUAGAGGGUGGUAUGCUUCAUUAAACCUAUUAUGCUCCAAACCAUCAGCAAUGACUCCAAUCCCACUUGAUGUUUGGGGCAUGUGCUUUUAGAGCCACUGCUAGUGAGAAAUGUUUCAGAAAUCAAACAUGCAAUUAAGCAUAAAUAGUAGUGUUUUGUUUAUUUCAUGG